This 1673-nucleotide long non-coding RNA is filed under the name Homo sapiens (human). RNAcentral describes it as "HSALNT0296758". Lineage: Eukaryota; Metazoa; Chordata; Mammalia; Primates; Hominidae. The record is from RNAcentral.
CGUCACCACAGCUUCAGGCCUGGGGGGCUUCGGCCACUGAGAUGAGGGGUUCAGGCCAGGUUUCAGAGUCCCACCAGGCCUCCCUCUUGCAACAGAAGGAAAGUCCACACUGAGGAGGAUCAUGGCCUGCUACGGUCGAAGUGCAAGGCACGCGUCAGAAGCAGUGGCUCCUUCUGCAGCAGGACUCACCUACUGACUCAGAAGGACGUCCUCCAGGGACAGCCAGCUCCUCCUCUGAGCGCACAGCCCAUGUCCUCUGCUGUGCGCUCCUCGCGCGAACCGACCCCACCUCGGACCGGAAGCCACCUUGGGCUGGAGGAUGCCAUGAAGUCUCUCUGGUUCAACGUGCAUGCACCGUCUCACUUAACCUGGGUUACUCUGUAUGAGUUGCACAGAAAAGGCCAACAUGGACAUCUGAGGACAGACAGCACAGGAGUACAGGAACUAAUGCAAAUUGCAUGUGAAUGACAUCCCCAUGCAGGCCACUACUGACCACACUUACCCUCCCAUUUCACACACCUGCUUGGGACUAUCCUUCCUGGAGGCCACUGGAACUUCUGGAGCCACCUGCAGCACUUCUGAUGCAUUUCCUAGAAGCUUUUGCACCUGCAAGAGAAACGAGGUUGAAGCAGUGUUGCAGUGUUGGUAUUGCUGUGGUGUGACUUUGUUCUAGAUCUUUGGGGAUGCCCAGGUGUGCAGAGGUAACUCCUGGUUGGUGACCCAUGAGGACACUUCCUAUGCAAACAUCAAGGAUGUCUACUUCGUGCCAUGUCGUGAAUUCUCAGGCACAGGCUUCCUGAGCAUCUACCAUGCGUCAAGCACUCUGCAAGGCACCAAAGGCACACAGGUAAUUAAGACAUGGUGCUGGCUCCUGGGAACUCACCAUCCAUGAGGCUCACAGAGGCAUCAUUUGACCAUUUUAGCACAAGAUGGGUGGGCAGGUGUUCCUAAGAGCUGCCCCUCCAUCCAAUGGGACAUGGCCUGUGGCUCUCCAGUGUCCACAAAAUGAACAAAGUGCAGCCGAGCUUGAGGUCCUGCGGUCCUUGAGGAUGAUCUGAACCCACGCAGCUGAUGGAGCCUUCGGAGGACACAGAGCCCUAGGCGGGAGUAGGACCUCAGAGAGGAGCAGCCAUGUGGGGGUCCCAGAUUCUCAGAACAUCCUCCGUCACUGGGGUGGCUCAUCCAUGGCAGAGCUGGCUGACCUCAAGUCACCCUAAGGACUGGAAACGGGUGUCUCAGUGGUGAGCAGUGCAGACAGGCCCAAGGCAAGACCCAGUCUCUUGUUCUUUCUCUACAGCCUGUGAGUAUGUGUGCAAGAGAGUGUGUGUUGGGGGAACAGCCCUGAAAAAAGAGGGGCUCUAAUUUCUUCCUUGCUUGGCAGGGUGAGCGCUCAGAGUGAAAGCUAAGUUGCUUUACUGGUUAUCAAGGCAGCAGAAUAACUGGGAUUAUCAUACAUUGGGGUAGGAGUAGAAAAUGAGACACCCACUCUAGAAAAGAAAGUGUUUCCUGCACACUGGAAUUUGUAAAGUGCAUCAUAUUCAUGACAAGGAAUCCUCAUGAUACCGUAAUGCCAUUGUCAAAUAGCUAUGUUGACUCUCAUCUUGUAGAUGAAGAAUCAAGGCUCAGAGAAAAUCUCUCAAGCUGGCCGCAGGGCUGUUUCCACUGUGCCUGCU